This is a non-coding RNA of Salmo salar (Atlantic salmon), 65 nucleotides long. The record is from Rfam. Lineage: Eukaryota; Metazoa; Chordata; Actinopteri; Salmoniformes; Salmonidae.
GUCUCUGUUGGUAGAACAUGGCACUUACAAUGCCAGGGUUGUGGGUUCAAUUCCCACAGGAGACC